CACUAGCCGACGACGGGUACGGGUCCUGGAAGGGAGUGCCCGGAGAUGGACUCUGAGACACGAGUCCAGGCCCUACGGGGCGCAGCAGGCGCGAAAACUUUGCAAUGCGGGAAACCGCGACAAGGGAACUCCAAGUGCCUAUGCAAAGCAUAGGCUGUUCAACUGCCUAAAAAGCAGUUGGAGUAAGAGCUGGGUAAGUCCGGUGCCAGCCGCCGCGGUAAUACCGGCAGCUCGAGUGGUGGCCAUUAUUAUUGGGUCUAAAGCGUCCGUAGCCGGUCCUUCAAAUCCCUGGGUAAAUCGGGCAGCUCAACUGUCCGAACUCCGGGGAGACUGUAGGACUAGGGACCGGGAGAGGUCGGAGGUACUCCCGGGGUAGGGGUGAAAUCCUAUAAUCCCGGGGGGACCACCGGUGGCGAAGGCGUCCGACUAGAACGGAUCCGACGGUGAGGGACGAAACCCUGGGGAGCGAACCGGAUUAGAUACCCGGGUAGUCCAGGGCGUAAACGCUGCAGGCUUGGUGUUGGAGGUACUACGUGUGCUUCCAGUGCCGGAGAGAAGUUGUUAAGCCUGCCACCUGGGGAGUAUGCUCGCAAGAGUGAAACUUAAAGGAAUUGGCGGGGGAGCACAAGGGCGAAUCGCGCCCGCUUAUG
RNAcentral lists this ribosomal RNA (650 nucleotides) under uncultured archaeon. RNAcentral's name for it is "bacterial SSU rRNA". It matches the Rfam family "Archaeal small subunit ribosomal RNA", at positions 251 to 906 of the family's 1478-position model. The record is from RNAcentral.